RNAcentral lists this ribosomal RNA (460 nucleotides) under uncultured bacterium. Its description in RNAcentral is "partial 16S ribosomal RNA". It matches the Rfam family "Bacterial small subunit ribosomal RNA", at positions 338 to 795 of the family's 1533-position model. The record is from RNAcentral.
CCUACGGGGGGCAGCAGUGAGGAAUAUUGGUCAAUGGGCGCGAGCCUGAACCAGCCAAGUAGCGUGAAGGAUGACUGCCCUACGGGUUGUAAACUUCUUUUAUAAAGGAAUAAAGUGAGGCACGUGUGCCUUUUUGUAUGUACUUUAUGAAUAAGGAUCGGCUAACGCCGUGCCAGCAGCCGCGGUAAUACGGAGGAUCCGAGCGUUAUCCGGAUUUAUUGGGUUUAAAGGGAGCGUAGAGGGGUUGUUAAGUCCGUUGGGAAAGUUUGCGGCUCAAACGUAAAAUUGCAAUUGAUACUGGCAGUCUUGAGUACAGUUGAGGUAGGCGGAAUGCGUGGGGUAGCGGUGAAAUGCUUAGAUAUCACGAAGAACCCCGAUUGCGAAGGCAGCUUACUAAACUGUGACUGACAUUGAUGCUCGAAAGUGUGGGUAUCAAACAGGAUUAGAUACCCUGGUAGUC